Molecule: long non-coding RNA, 875 nt
Filed under: Homo sapiens (human)
Lineage: Eukaryota; Metazoa; Chordata; Mammalia; Primates; Hominidae
Description: non-protein coding lnc-STK25-2:1
Source: RNAcentral
UGUGUGUGUGUUGGAUGUGUGUGUUGGGGUUUGUGUGUUGGGGUGUGUGUACGUGUAUGUGUUGUGUAUGUUUGUGUGUUGGUGUGGGGUGUUGUGUGUAUUAGUGUAUUAGUGUGUGUGUUGGGUAUGUGUGUUGUGUGUGUGUUGAGGUGUCUACGUGUUGUGUGUUGGGUAUGUGUAUUGUGUGUGUUGAGGUAUCUACGUGUUGUGUGUUGGUGUGUGUGUGUUUUGUGUGUGUUUCGUGUGUGUUGGGUAUGUGUAUGUUGUAUGUGUUGGGGUGUGUGUUGGGUGUUGCGUAUGUACAUUAUGUAUGUAUUGGGAUGUGUGUUGGGUAUAUGUGUGUGUUGGGCAUGUGUGUAUUGGGGCUGUGUAUUUGUGUGUUGGGCGUGUGUUGUGUGUAUUGGGGGUGUAUAUGUGUGUGUUGUGUAUGUUUGUGUGUGUGUUGGGUGUGUGUAUAUGUCAGGUGUGUGUGUUGGGUAUAUGUGUGUGUUGGGGUGUGUGUGUUGGUGUUGUGUGUGUUGGGUGUGUGUUUUGUGUAUUGGGUGUGUUGUGUUGGGUGUGUUGAGUGUGUAUUGGGGGUGUGCAUGUGUGUGUUGCGUGUUGGGUAUGUGUAUGUGUGUUGGGUUUGUGUGUGUGUUGGGUAUGUGUUGUGUGUGUGUUCAGUGUGUGUGUUGGGUAUGUGUGUGUGUUGGGGUGUGUGUGUUGGGUGUGUGUUGGGGUGUGUGUGUUGGGUGUGUGUUGGGGGUGUGUGUUGGGUGUGUGUGUGUUGUGUGCGUGUGUUGGGGGUGUGCGUGUGUUGGGGGUGUGUGUGCUGGGGGUGUGUGUGUUGGGUGUGUGUGUGUGUUGGGUGUGUUUGUGUGUGUGUUGUGGGGGUG